UCCGCUGUGGUGUAAUCGGCAGCACGGGGGUUUUUGGUGCCCCUUGUCCAGGUUCGAGUCCUGGCAGCGGAG
RNAcentral lists this transfer RNA (72 nucleotides) under Streptantibioticus ferralitis. RNAcentral's name for it is "tRNA-Gln". It matches the Rfam family "tRNA". From Rfam's summary of the family: Transfer RNA (tRNA) molecules are approximately 80 nucleotides in length. Their secondary structure includes four short double-helical elements and three loops (D, anti-codon, and T loops). The record is from RNAcentral. RNAcentral also lists the same sequence under 4 other names. Lineage: Bacteria; Bacillati; Actinomycetota; Actinomycetes; Kitasatosporales; Streptomycetaceae.